This is a long non-coding RNA of Gambusia affinis (western mosquitofish), 804 nucleotides long. RefSeq lists it as uncharacterized. The transcript is spliced from 2 exons. The record is from RefSeq and is a predicted model, not a curated record. Lineage: Eukaryota; Metazoa; Chordata; Actinopteri; Cyprinodontiformes; Poeciliidae.
CUUCUCUCCAAACACCAGAUACUAACAAGGUUAGUCAGAGGCUUCUUUAGAUUGGUGCAAGACUGACUGCUACUGGAAAUCCCCCCUGCUCAGAAACUGCAGAUCUACAGGGACUUUUAUGAACAACCAUGAGUCAUAUUUGUAUCGAAAGGUAAGAAAAAGGAGAAUAUGCAGUGAACAGUGGCUGUAUAGAUAAAUAUGUCUUGUUGAAAUCAGAGGAAAAUGGGAAUACUGGUUCAACAUAACAAAAAGGCAGCAGUAGUACUUUACACUUUACCAGGACUGCCAGUAAUUUUAGGGAAUACUGGUUUUGGGUUUGUUUAAAAUGCCUAAAGAUAAUCCUGUCAGCAACAAAAAAACCACAAACACGUUCAAUUUAUGUAAAACAUGUUGCGGAAAUCGAGAUAUGAGGAAAGAUGAGAACACACUUCUCUAAAACACAGACAAUAUUGAAACUGGGAAAUCUGAAGGCAAUCUCUGUAACUGUGAAGUCACUCUACAAACCAGCAGGAUGCCUUUCGGUUGGGAAACAUUUUAAAAACAACAUGUGGCAUAAAUAUGCCACAUGAAAUGAGGCUUGAGUGGCUUCAGAAGCAGAAUUAAUGACUUUACUUCUGCCUCUUGAAACCCAGAUAGUUUUCUACAGAGAAAUUAAUUAACAAACUCUUAUUCCGAUAAUCAGCCUCCAUUAGGGACAGACUUGUGGUUUCUCCCUGAUGCCUUUUUAAACAUCCCUCUGUGAUCCUCAGAGCCAUGAGCGCUUUGGUUGCCCUUCAGUACGUUUGGAUGGAGAAGAUAAUGAAC